Cervus elaphus (red deer) is the source of this 439-nucleotide long non-coding RNA. RefSeq lists it as uncharacterized. The transcript is spliced from 3 exons. The record is from RefSeq and is a predicted model, not a curated record. Lineage: Eukaryota; Metazoa; Chordata; Mammalia; Artiodactyla; Cervidae.
CCCCUCUUUCCAGCUGAUGUUCUGAAAGACUUCCCUACCAGUUGGAAUGCGUUAUGCAAAUAACUUCUGUUUUCAUUUAUUUUGCUGACCUAAGGCAGGAUGAAGACCUAGCUGGACUGGAAAUCAGGUUUCUGACUCCUCAUCCCAUUUAAAUCCCAUCUCAUCACCCAGCACCUUAACUGCAGGCAUGGGGGACCACAGGUUCUGUACCUGAUUUGCAAGUCGUGCAAGUCUCAGCAAUCUCAUGGAGCCUCGAAACACUCUACUGGAAUGAAGAAUCGGAAGCGUGGCCCCAUGGCAUCCCAGCUUUACUUCUGAGACCAAAGCGCUGAAGUUCAGUGCGGCGAGGGUGCUGGGAAACGGGGCGCCAUCAUGGCCUCCUGGUCUCCAUGGACUGUGGCCCGCCAGGCUCCUCUGUCUAUGGGAUUUCUCAUGCAAG